UAACCGAACUCUCGGAGUAGCGGUGAAAUGCGUAGAGACCGAGAGGUACCCCGAUGGUGAAGACAGCUUACUGGGCGUCUCCUGACGCUGAAGCGCUAAGGCCAGGGGAGCAAAGGGGAUUAGAUACCCCCGUAGUCCUGGCUUCAAACGAUGUGGGCUUGGUGUCGGCCCCCUAUAGAGGGUCGUUGCCGGAGUUAACGCGUUAAGCCCACCGCCUGGGGAUUACGUCCGCAAGGAUGAAACUCAAGGGAAUUGACGGGGGCCCACACAACCGGUGGAGCACGUGGUUUAAUUCGACGAUAAGCGAAGAACCUUACCAGGGCUUGACCUAGCGGUAGUAGAACCCCGAAAGGGGAACGACCUCAAGCUUUGCUUGAGGAGCCGUGGCAGGUAUUGCAUGGCUGUCGUCAGCUCGUGUCGUGGGACGUUGGGUUAAGUCCCGUAACGAGCGCAACCCCUGCCCUUAAUUGCCAGCGGGUAAUGCCGGGUACUAUAAGGGGACUGCCGGAGAAUAUCCGGAGGAAGGAGGGGACGACGUCAAGUCAUUAUGAUCCUUAUGCUCUGGGCGACACACGUGCUACAAUGGGCACUACAAUGAGGAGCAAAUCCGCAAGGACGAGCAAAUCUCAAAAAGGUGCCCCCAGUGCGGAUUGGGGUCUGCAACUCGACCCCAUGAAGAUGGAAUCGGUAG
This 691-nucleotide ribosomal RNA is filed under the name uncultured bacterium. RNAcentral's name for it is "bacterial SSU rRNA". It matches the Rfam family "Bacterial small subunit ribosomal RNA", at positions 658 to 1338 of the family's 1533-position model. The record is from RNAcentral.